Molecule: ribosomal RNA, 395 nt
Filed under: uncultured bacterium
Lineage: Bacteria
Description: bacterial SSU rRNA
Rfam family: Bacterial small subunit ribosomal RNA
Source: RNAcentral
AUUGAACGCUGGCGGCAUGCCUUACACAUGCAAGUCGAACAGCAGCACGGGAGCAAUCCUGGUGGCGAGUGGCGAACGGGUGAGUAAUAUAUCGGAACGUGCCCAGUCGUGGGGGAUAACGUAGCGAAAGCUACGCUAAUACCGCAUACGAUCUAUGGAUGAAAGCGGGGGAUCGCAAGACCUCGCGCGAUUGGAGCGGCCGAUAUCAGAUUAGGUAGUUGGUGAGGUAAAGGCUCACCAAGCCGACGAUCUGUAGCUGGUCUGAGAGGACGACCAGCCACACUGGGACUGAGACACGGCCCAGACUCCUACGGGAGGCAGCAGUGGGGGAAUUUUUGGGACAAUGGGCGCAAGCCUGAUCCAGCAAUGCCGCGUGCAGGAUGAAGGCCUCGGUU